Molecule: ribosomal RNA, 951 nt
Filed under: Thelidium methorium
Lineage: Eukaryota; Fungi; Ascomycota; Eurotiomycetes; Verrucariales; Verrucariaceae
Description: eukaryotic LSU rRNA
Rfam family: Eukaryotic large subunit ribosomal RNA
Source: RNAcentral
GGUUGACCUCGGAUCAGGUAGGGAUACCCGCUGAACUUAAGCAUAUCAAUAAGCGGAGGAAAAGAAACCAACAGGGAUUGCCUCAGUAACGGCGAGUGAAGCGGCAACAGCUCAAAUUUGAAAUCUGGCCCCUCUGGGGGUCCGAGUUGUAAUUUGUAGAGGAUGCUUCGGACAAGGCCGCGGUCUAAUUUGCUUGGAACAGCGAGUCACAGAGGGUGAGAGUCCCGUCUAGGAUCGUGCGCCGCGUCCGUGUGAAGCUCCUUCGACGAGUCGAGUUGUUUGGGAAUGCAGCUCUAAAUGGGUGGUAAAUUUCAUCUAAAGCUAAAUAUUGGCCAGAGACCGAUAGCGCACAAGUAGAGUGAUCGAAAGAUGAAAAGCACUUUGAAAAGAGAGUUAAACAGUAUGUGAAAUUGUUGAAAGGGAAGCGCUUGCAACCAGACUUGCGUGUGACGGUUCCCCCCACCUUCUGGUGGGGCUACUCCGUUAUCUCCAGGCCAGCAUCGGUUCAGGUGGUCGGUUAAAGACCUCGGGAAUGUAUCUACCUCCGGGUCGACUUAUAGCCCGGGGUGCAAUGCGGCCCACCUGGACCGAGGAACGCGCUUCGGCCCGGAUGCUGGCGUAAUGGUUGCAAGCGGCCCGUCUUGAAACACGGACCAAGGAGUCUAACAUCUAUGCGAGUGUUUGGGUGUCAAACCCCUACGCGUAAUGAAAGUGAACGGAGGUAAGAACCCCGCAAGGGGCGCAUUAUCGACCGAUCCUGAUGUCUUCGGAUGGAUUUGAGUAAGAGCAUAGCUGUUGGGACCCGAAAGAUGGUGAACUAUGCCUGAAUAGGGUGAAGCCAGAGGAAACUCUGGUGGAGGCUCGCAGCGGUUCUGACGUGCAAAUCGAUCGUCAAAUUUGGGCAUAGGGGCGAAAGACCAAUCGAACCAUCUGGUAGCUGGUUCCUGUCGA